Molecule: long non-coding RNA, 333 nt
Filed under: Apteryx owenii (little spotted kiwi)
Lineage: Eukaryota; Metazoa; Chordata; Aves; Apterygiformes; Apterygidae
Description: lncRNA (ENSAOWG00000001516.1)
Source: RNAcentral
GCUUUCUUGACCUGGUGAGCCAUAUACAACAAAUCUACCUGACCGAAUGCAACAGAGCAUAUGAGUUAAUCUGACAAGGAGAUUACUGCCUCUAGCUGCCUCAAUUUGUCUCCUGUGCUUGAAGUUUCUGCCUACCAGAUUCACAGUGGCUUCAUGAAAAUGGAUGAUGCUUAAUAUGAGAGGACAGUCUUCCUUCAACUCUUCCCUUUAGAUCAAUAACUUAGAGUCAUUUAAAACACCCCGAUGAGUAUGACCGCAUACUUUUUGGCUGAUUAGGUAUGUGACAUGUAAGAUACUUCUGUGAAACUGUUGAAGUAAGACUACAUGUGUAAG